Molecule: ribosomal RNA, 536 nt
Filed under: uncultured bacterium
Lineage: Bacteria
Description: bacterial SSU rRNA
Rfam family: Bacterial small subunit ribosomal RNA
Source: RNAcentral
CCUGGCCUUGACAUACUAAGAACUUUCCAGAGAUGGAUUGGGUGCCUUCGGGAACUUAGAUACAGGUGCUGCAUGGCUGUCGUCAGCUCGUGUCGUGAGAUGUUGGGUUAAGUCCCGCAACGAGCGCAACCCUUUUCCUAUUUGCCAGCGGGUUAAGCCGGGAACUUUAAGGAUACUGCCAGUGACAAACUGGAGGAAGGCGGGGACGACGUCAAGUCAUCAUGGCCCUUACGGCCAGGGCUACACACGUGCUACAAUGGUCGGUACAAAGGGUUGCUACCUCGCGAGAGGAUGCUAAUCUCAAAAAGCCGAUCGUAGUCCGGAUCGCAGUCUGCAACUCGACUGCGUGAAGUCGGAAUCGCUAGUAAUCGCGGAUCAGAAUGCCGCGGUGAAUACGUUCCCGGGCCUUGUACACACCGCCCGUCACACCAUGGGAGUUUGUUGCACCAGAAGUAGGUAGUCUAACCGCAAGGAGGACGCUUACCACGGUGUGGCCGAUGACUGGGGUGAAGUCGUAACAAGGUAGGCGUAGAUGA